RNAcentral lists this ribosomal RNA (433 nucleotides) under uncultured bacterium. Its description in RNAcentral is "partial 16S ribosomal RNA". It matches the Rfam family "Bacterial small subunit ribosomal RNA", at positions 29 to 507 of the family's 1533-position model. The record is from RNAcentral.
AACGAACGCUGGCGGCAUGCCUAAUACAUGCAAGUCGAACGAGACCUUCGGGUCUAGUGGCGCACGGGUGCGUAACGCGUGGGAACCUGCCCUUAGGUUCGGAAUAACUCCCCGAAAGGGGUGCUAAUACCGGAUAAUGUCUUCGGACCAAAGAUUUAUCGCCUUUGGUUGGGCCCGCGUUGGAUUAGCUAGUUGGUAGGGUAAAAGCCUACCAAGGCGAGGAUCCAUAGCUGGUCUGAGAGGAUGAUCAGCCACACUGGGACUGAGACACGGCCCAGACUCCUACGGGAGGCAGCAGUGGGGAAUAUUGGACAAUGGGCGAAAGCCUGAUCCAGCAAUGCUGCGUGAGUGAUGAAGGCCGUAGGGUUGUAAAGCUCUUUUACCCGGGAUGAUAAUGACAGUACCGGGAGAAUAAGCUCCGGCUAACUCCGUG